This 84-nucleotide transfer RNA is filed under the name Felis catus (domestic cat). It matches the Rfam family "tRNA". Rfam says of the family: Transfer RNA (tRNA) molecules are approximately 80 nucleotides in length. Their secondary structure includes four short double-helical elements and three loops (D, anti-codon, and T loops). Lineage: Eukaryota; Metazoa; Chordata; Mammalia; Carnivora; Felidae. The record is from Rfam by way of RNAcentral.
GCCUGGGUGGCUAAGUAGUUAAGUGUCUGACUUCAGCUCAGGUCAUGAACUCACAGUUCGUGGGUUCGAGCCCCGUGUCGGGCU